CGGUUAACGGAGCGAAAGCGACGUUCAACCUCAAAAGAAGCAGAGGGGGCUUAGUGGUGGGGUGACUGCGUACCUUUUGUAUAAUGGGUCAGCGACUUAUAUUCUGUAGCAAGGUUAACCGAAUAGGGGAGCCGGAGGGAAACCGAGUCUUAACCGGGCGUUAAGUUGCAGGGUAUAGACCCGAAACCCGGUGAUCUAGCCAUGGGCAGGUUGAAGGUUGGGUAACACUAACUGGAGGACCGAACCGACUAAUGUUGAAAAAUUAGCGGAUGACCUGUGGCUGGGGGUGAAAGGCCAAUCAAACCGGGAGAUAGCUGGUUCUCCCCGAAAGCUAUUUAGGUAGCGCCUCGUGAAUUCAUCUCCGGGGGUAGAGCACUGUUUCGGCUAGGGGGCCAUCCCGGCUUACCAACCCGAUGCAAACUGCGAAUACCGGAGAAUGUUAUCACGGGAGACACACGGCGGGUGCUAACGUCCGUCGUGAAGAGGGAAACAACCCAGACCGCCAGCUAAGGUCCCAAAGUCAUGGUUAAGUGGGAAACGAUGUGGGAAGGCCCAGACAGCCAGGAUGUUGGCUUAGAAGCAGCCAUCAUUUAAAGAAAGCGUAAUAGCUCACUGGUCGAGUCGGCCUGCGCGGAAGAUGUAACGGGGCUAAACCAUG
RNAcentral lists this ribosomal RNA (658 nucleotides) under Salmonella enterica subsp. enterica serovar Schwarzengrund. Its description in RNAcentral is "partial 23S ribosomal RNA". It matches the Rfam family "Bacterial large subunit ribosomal RNA", at positions 527 to 1191 of the family's 2925-position model. The record is from RNAcentral. Lineage: Bacteria; Pseudomonadati; Pseudomonadota; Gammaproteobacteria; Enterobacterales; Enterobacteriaceae.